UGUGUUUCCUGCAAUGUCCAGGAUUAACGGUGGCUACGUUUUGUUAUCUGCAAUUCUUCCCUCCUCCGUACGAUCCAGAUGGUUGGGGAACUCAUGCGUACUUCCAGAUGCUUGCAGACUCGAGAAACGAUGUCCAAAAUUCAGCAGGAAUGAAUCAUCUAAGCGUGAGGCAGACAGAACUGGAGAACGUGUACGUUGAUCGAGAUGAGACCUCCGUGGAAUUACCAAGAAGCAGCAACACGCGAGACACAACCCGUAUGCUUGAGAACCGCUAAGUGAAGGGAGAGUCUUGUACUUCAAUUGUAUCAGUCUUAGUUGUGUAUUUUGGGUUAGGCAUUAAUACUUCUAAUCACAAAGACCAAUAAUUGUUGGAA
Camelina sativa (false flax) is the source of this 374-nucleotide non-coding RNA. NCBI's taxonomy places the organism in Eukaryota, Viridiplantae, Streptophyta, Magnoliopsida, Brassicales, Brassicaceae. The record is from RefSeq and is a predicted model, not a curated record.